This 798-nucleotide long non-coding RNA is filed under the name Citrus x clementina. Its description in RNAcentral is "Citrus clementina (C. clementina) long non-coding RNA (CCLE_LNC003407)". The record is from RNAcentral. Lineage: Eukaryota; Viridiplantae; Streptophyta; Magnoliopsida; Sapindales; Rutaceae.
UGUCAUCUAAAACUUCGAUAUCUGAAAUUAGGAACCAAAAUUACAAUUGAGAAAUCAAAUUCAAGUUCUGAGAAAAUUUAAACCCACAACAUAAUUGCAGAUCCCCUGCAUUCAACAUCCAAAUUGGAUAGCCAAUCACGAACUUCGAAGAAAAAUGAGUCAUUUUCAUAAUAUUUGCCACACUCAUCAUCGAAAAUUUAUCAUGAAAAACAAUCUUUUUCCAGAAAAAAUAAACAGAGACCAAAAUUUAAACAACAUAACAAGCUAAUGAAAACCAAUCCAAAACAAAUUGAAUGAGAAUUUACCAGAAAAGAAAGAACAAAGAAGACCAAAGAAACGCUGAGUUGGUGAUGGCUUGUUGAUUCGGGUCGCGGUCACCUGGGCACUGGUUCGGGUCGCGCUCGUCUGGGUUUGCUGCUGCUGCACCGCCGCACGGGUUAGCUACUGCUGUGGGUUCGAGUGGCUGCUAAUACGUUGCGCGGCUGAUGCUCCUGGGUUGCUGCCGAGUUGCGGGCUGCACUGGCGUGGCUGCGUCCCUCAAGCUCAAUCGAUGAUAGAUGCACUACCGGCGGCUGUUUUUGUUGCUUGAUUGCUUCACUUGGUAUGGGUAGGUGAGUGUGAUUCGUGUGAGAGAGGUAGAGAGCAACGAGAGCGGCUAAGUGAGGGGAGAAUUUUUAGGGAUUUAGCUUUAGGUUUCUGCUACUUUGUUUUUUUUUCUUUUGUUAUUUGCUUAAAAUUACAAUAUUAAUCUUCAAAUUUUAAAAAGCUUUCAAAUAAAUUUAAGGAUAAAAAAGUAAU